Molecule: ribosomal RNA, 254 nt
Filed under: uncultured bacterium
Lineage: Bacteria
Description: partial 16S ribosomal RNA
Rfam family: Bacterial small subunit ribosomal RNA
Source: RNAcentral
CUUUCUUUGCUGGCGACCGGCGCACGGGUGAGUAACGCGUAUCCAACCUGCCCUUUACUCGGGGAUAGCCUUUCGAAAGAAAGAUUAAUACCCGAUAGCAUAAUGAUUCCGCAUGGUUUCAUUAUUAAAGGAUUCCGGUAAAGGAUGGGGAUGCGUUCCAUUAGGUUGUUGGUGAGGUAACGGCUCACCAAGCCUUCGAUGGAUAGGGGUUCUGAGAGGAAGGUCCCCCACAUUGGAACUGAGACACGGUCCAA